This 451-nucleotide ribosomal RNA is filed under the name uncultured bacterium. RNAcentral's name for it is "bacterial SSU rRNA". It matches the Rfam family "Bacterial small subunit ribosomal RNA", at positions 28 to 507 of the family's 1533-position model. The record is from RNAcentral.
GAUGAACGCUGGCGGCGUGCCUAACACAUGCAAGUCGAGCGAACCCUUCGGGGUGAGCGGCGGACGGGUGAGUAACGCGUGGGUAACCUGCCCUGUACACACGGAUAACAUACCGAAAGGUAUGCUAAUACGAGAUAAUAUGUAAUGAUCGCAUGGUCGAUACAUCAAAGCUCCGGCGGUACAGGAUGGACCCGCGUCUGAUUAGCUAGUUGGUGAGGUAAUGGCUCACCAAGGCGACGAUCAGUAGCCGACCUGAGAGGGUGAUCGGCCACAUUGGAACUGAGACACGGUCCAAACUCCUACGGGAGGCAGCAGUGGGGAAUAUUGGGCAAUGGGCGAAAGCCUGACCCAGCGACGCCGCGUGAGGGAAGAAGGUCUUCGGAUUGUAAACCUCUGUUGACAGGGACGAAGCAUGACGGUACCUGUCGAGGAAGCCACGGCUAACUACGUG